GUGAGGUUUUUCCAAUGCUUUUAAUAUUCCGAAAAUACCCCUGUCCCUAAACUGUACCCCGGCUGGUUUAAGGCCGUUUCGGCAAUGGCGAGACGUCACUGUUCAGCAGGUAAUAAACAAGAAGGCUCCUGCGAGUCACGCCAAUGCGUCUCACUGCUUGCACUGCCUCCAAACCCCAUUCCCGCCUCAUCCUACGGUCACGGAUGGCCCAUCCAUUGUCUUGUCGCCGGUCUCAUCCAUACCCUGCUCUGUCUCCUUUCUUGCCCGCUGUUCCUCGAGCGACUCCUUCCCUGCUCUGUCUUCUUCACUGCUUCUUUAACUGUCAUUGCUCUUCUCCCCGCCACUUUCACCAUUGUUGUGUCCUAUUGCUUCCUUCCACUUUUUCGGACUUCCUCCGUCCAGCGCCGUCCCUUCAGCCCAACAAUUUCCUUCACUCCUUGUAUUUAUAAGUCUGCCCCCCCCCCCCCCCCCCCCCCCCCAACACACACACACACACACACACAAAAACAAUUACUUUCUCUGCUUCCGGCUUCUCCGACCAGACAUUCCGCCUCUGAUCCUUGUGCUGCCUCCCUCGCCACUGGCCUCCUCUUGGCCCAACCCACGCCUACCCGUUAACGCCACAGAGCUGAGGUUGGCUGCUUUUACCUACCCAACCACCGUGUACUCGCUCACCAAUUCGUGUCUUUUUACCUAUUCCCCAUCGUGCCUGCCUGUCCACGGAGUGGUCUGCGAAUCGUGCCUUAUACAUUGCUUCACACACGUUCAGACACUCCUCCAUUUCUACUUCCGAAAUGCUCCAUUUUUCCCGCCCUCAAGCUGCUUGAUCAAAUGCCUAUCACAGUCAUCCCAUUCUCUGCAGCGCCAGUUGAUCGAAAUUUGCACAAAAUAGAUGAAGUGUCACUUCAAUCCGAUCGGUGUUUUCGAUUUCUACAAGAGACAUGAGUUGUUCUGUUGAAAUUCUGAAACACUUCAGAAAAGAAACAAAAGGAACUGUACCGACUUUUUAUUUUUAUUUUCCAGAACUGAAACUGUACCGACUUACUGCACAGCUACAUACAUGACCUUCCAACAUUUUGCAUUUGGCCAUUCUUUUGGAUCUGCAAUCCACCUAUUAAUUGGUAAUUAAUACUUUCAUGGCAUCAUUUUCUGUGAUUUCAUGAUAGGUUGGGCAACUUAUGUAUCUGUUCCCCAUUGACUUAAGGAUCAAGAAAUGCUGUGCCAAAAAAAUGGGAUCUUGUUGAUGCCAUUCGAUAGCAAGGAACAUGAGUCGUGAUUGAAGCAAAUCGAGUUUCAUGGAUUGUUGGUGUCGAAUAAAUUCUUCAAGUGAUGAUGUUUCCCAUUAUAAGGUAUUGCAGGGACAUCUUUAGGAGUGGGUUUUGCGAUCCCAUCUUCGUUUUUUUCUAGAGAAACAGAACCCAGGUCCAUUCGAUCCCAUCUUCUACUGGAAUUGGCCAGUGUUCACUGUUCAGUCGGCUCAUUGAUCAUCACAUGUCUCUGCAAAUUGCAGCCAUUAACCCUCCAAACCCAUGCGACCAGCCUGACCAGAUCUGAUGAUCCUUAGAGCCAUCAGUUCAUCAGCGCACAAGCUUCUUGCUAAAGACUCCUGGGAUAAUGAGGGCUUGAUCUGGAAACUCAUAUUUUUGGAGACGGAGAGGGCCUCAUACAAUCUGAAAGUUCCUUUGGAUUGCGGCCCAUAACCGACUUCUCACCAAUAGUUCCAUGCUUCGUGGAACUUAUCUCACUCUUGCCUGUGCGGCUGCUGCAGUUUAGGGGUGGAGUCUUUCACUCAUGUGUAUCAAUAUGCGAGCUACGUGGGAGACCAUUGUCCCCCAGGUAUUCCGUGACUCUUUCUUCUCUCCUCCCCUCUUGGACUGGCUUACUUUCAACGUCCUCUCUAAAGAGGGUUCUCGUACUGCCCGGUCUUGUUGGGCAAGUGUAUUUGCUAUCUCCUGUUGGUUACUGUAAUCUUGGCAGAAUGAGGAGCUUUUUGAACAGCUGCUUCCUUCCUGCCGGCUUACAACGAUUGCUGUCGUUUGUUGGGACCCGUUAGGGAGUGCAAAUUAGAGGGCUGGAAGAUGUUAGGACCACUCGGAGAUGUUACCAAAUCCAAGUCGAUGAUGCGAUCCAAGUUGGAAGAUUUUUUUUUUCUUUUUAAUAACAAAUUAAUUCCAGGAAUAUCUUUAAGUCAUAGCUUCAUAUAUAUACAUGUCCAUGAAAGUAGUUUGGGUGGAAGUAGGCUAAUUAUUCAAACUCACUCAUUUUGGUUUCUUUGAAGUCGUUCGAACUCAAAUUUGUACAUAUAGCAAUUUGUUAAUUUUGCUUUGAGAUACUGGAUUUGAGUAAUAUGCUUGAGUCUUGUUAUUCUUAUCAAUUUAAGUGAAUUAACAAGAACUAUUUGUUGAUUAA
Molecule: non-coding RNA, 2409 nt
Organism: Punica granatum (pomegranate)
Lineage: Eukaryota; Viridiplantae; Streptophyta; Magnoliopsida; Myrtales; Lythraceae
Source: RefSeq, a predicted model, not a curated record